Molecule: small nucleolar RNA, 139 nt
Filed under: Triticum aestivum (bread wheat)
Lineage: Eukaryota; Viridiplantae; Streptophyta; Magnoliopsida; Poales; Poaceae
Also listed under: 1 other name
Description: Small nucleolar RNA Z247
Rfam family: Small nucleolar RNA Z247
About the family: Z247 is a member of the C/D class of snoRNA which contain the C (UGAUGA) and D (CUGA) box motifs.
Source: Rfam by way of RNAcentral
CCCAUCGGCGAAGAUGAGCUCAUCUCCUUCAUCAUCGUCGGCCUCGACAUGGAAUAUCAGCCCAUCAUAUCCGCUCUUGACGUGCGUGUUGAUCCUGUCUCCACCGAUGAACUCUUUGGCAUGAUCUCCAACUUUGAUC